AACGAACGCUGGCGGCGUGGAUAAGACAUGCAAGUCGAACGAGAGAAUUGCUAGCUUGCUAAUAAUUCUCUAGUGGCGCACGGGUGAGUAACACGUGAGUAACCUGCCCCCGAGAGCGGGAUAGCCCUGGGAAACUGGGAUUAAUACCGCAUAGUAUCGAAAGAUUAAAGCAGCAAUGCGCUUGGGGAUGGGCUCGCGGCCUAUUAGUUAGUUGGUGAGGUAACGGCUCACCAAGGCGAUGACGGGUAGCCGGUCUGAGAGGAUGUCCGGCCACACUGGAACUGAGACACGGUCCAGACACCUACGGGUGGCAGCAGUCGAGAAUCAUUCACAAUGGGGGAAACCCUGAUGGUGUGACGCCGCGUGGGGGAAUGAAGGUCUUCGGAUUGUAAACCCCUGUCAUGUGGGAGCAAAUUAAAAAGAUAGUACCACAAGAGGAAGAGACGGCUAACUCUGUGCCAGCAGCCGCGGUAAUACAGAGGUCUCAAGCGUUGUUCGGAAUCACUGGGCGUAAAGCGUGCGUAGGCUGUUUCGUAAGUCGUGUGUGAAAGGCGCGGGCUCAACCCGCGGACGGCACAUGAUACUGCGAGACUAGAGUAAUGGAGGGGGAACCGGAAUUCUCGGUGUAGCAGUGAAAUGCGUAGAUAUCGAGAGGAACACUCGUGGCGAAGGCGGGUUCCUGGACAUUAACUGACGCUGAGGCACGAAGGCCAGGGGAGCGAAAGGGAUUAGAUACCCCUGUAGUCCUGGCAGUAAACGGUGCACGCUUGGUGUGCGGGGAAUCGACCCCCUGCGUGCCGGAGCUAACGCGUUAAGCGUGCCGCCUGGGGAGUACGGUCGCAAGAUUAAAACUCAAAGAAAUUGACGGGGACCCGCACAAGCGGUGGAGUAUGUGGCUUAAUUCGAUGCAACGCGAAGAACCUUACCUGGGCUUGACAUGUAAUGAACAACAUGUGAAAGCAUGCGACUCUUCGGAGGCGUUACACAGGUGCUGCAUGGCCGUCGUCAGCUCGUGUCGUGAGAUGUUUGGUUAAGUCCAGCAACGAGCGCAACCCCUGUUGCCAGUUACCAGCACGUGAAGGUGGGGACUCUGGCGAGACUGCCCAGAUCAACUGGGAGGAAGGUGGGGACGACGUCAGGUCAGUAUGGCCCUUAUGCCCAGGGCUGCACACGUACUACAAUGCCCAGUACAGAGGGGGCCGAAGCCGCGAGGCGGAGGAAAUCCUGAAAACUGGGCCCAGUUCGGACUGUAGGCUGCAACCCGCCUACACGAAGCCGGAAUCGCUAGUAAUGGCGCAUCAGCUACGGCGCCGUGAAUACGUUCCCGGGUCU
Molecule: ribosomal RNA, 1332 nt
Filed under: uncultured bacterium
Lineage: Bacteria
Description: bacterial SSU rRNA
Rfam family: Bacterial small subunit ribosomal RNA
Source: RNAcentral